AAAGGCCCCGAUAAGACAAUGUAAAACAAUUCAAACGAGAAAACUAACGGCCUUAUUUAUAUAAAAAAAUGAAUGAAAAACAAAUAUGCAAUACAUAAACAAACGACAACCACUGAAUUACAGGCUCCUGACUUGGGACAGGCACAUACCUAAAUAAUGUGGCGGGGUUAAAUAUGUUAGCGGGAUCCCAACCCCCCCCCUAACCUGGGACAAUGGUAUAACAGUACAACAAAAGAACGAACUAUAAAAAUCAGUUGAAAAAGGCUUAACUCAUCAGAUUGUAUGUUUCUCAGUUAUGAUGUAUCUGGUCAUGUUAGUUUGUUUCUUGAUUUUUUUUUUCAAAUGCAUCCCAAUAUGUUUCUCCUAAAAUUAGUCGUCGAAAGAAUUGUU
This 390-nucleotide long non-coding RNA is filed under the name Mytilus galloprovincialis (Mediterranean mussel). The record is from RNAcentral. Lineage: Eukaryota; Metazoa; Mollusca; Bivalvia; Mytilida; Mytilidae.